CAUCCGCUGAUUCACUCCCCAGUUGGCUGCAAUGGCCAGAGCUGUGCCUAUCUGAAGCCAGGAGCCAGGAGCUUCUUCCAGGUCUCCCAUGUGGGUGCAGGGGCUUGAGGACUUGGGCUGUCCUCCACUGCUUUCCAAGACCAUAGCAGAGAGCUGGAUAGGAAGUAGAGCAGCCAGGACUUGAACUGGUGCCCACAGAGGAUGCCAGCACUGUAGAUCGGGGCUUUAUCUGCUAUGCCGCAGCAUGGUCCCCUGUAAAAUUCCUGAGCGUUUCUUUUGGCACAAUACGUAGGUUCUGGAUAUGAACUGUACUCACCAACGUUAUCUUCUAGGUCCUCACAUCUCUGCUCUGAUUUCCUUUGUGGCUCAAGUACAUCGCAGGCAGGCGAUCCUGUCGAAUUGUCAUUUCGUUGUGUGGAGUUAGAACAUUCCCUCUUUAUCAUUUCCACUUGCAAACAUUUAAGGAACUUCACCUCUAGACCUAACGUGUCUGCAAAAUUGGCAAUUGUUUCUUCGGAUUCUGGGAAGGAAGAUGGAUGACCUGAUUUCCGGUUAUAGAGUGGAAGAAAUUGCAAACAGGUCUAACCAAUGGGCUGCCCUGUCUAAGCCCUCGUUGUUUGUGCUUUUUUUGUACACGUGAUCUGUUAUGGGCUGAGAGAGGGGAAUUAAAGUCUCCCACCACUGACGUCCUUCUGCCUGGCUGUGUUCUGGUGAUUGGGACGUGAUAUUCCCGUCGCGUGUGGACACUCGCACCUCUUCCGUCUUCAGUGCUGGUUCUGCCCUCUGUCCACACACAGGGCCACCAUCCACCAUGGUUAAGCUAAAGCUGUCUGCCCUAGUUUUAAUCUUGUCUGCUGCAUAUUAUAGUGAUUGUGGCUUUGUCUUUGCCUAAGAUAUCUUUCCACAUUCGCGGCAUCCAACACUCGAUCACUUUACAACCCAGCAAAGCAGUGCGUAACUAAAUUCACAAUCCAAUAUGGGAGUAAGUUUAGCCAAUUUACAUCAGCUGUCUCAUAUUGUAUGUCACUAUUUCUCUUUGUAUUUCUUAUGUUUCUCCUCUUUUGUUCUCAGUGUGUGUGUCUAUUUUGUUCCAUAUUUUCAUUAUUAUAAUAGCUAACUACAAUCACAGAUUGAAAUGAGGCAAGUUCAUCUCAGACAGCUCAGAGACAGUCACAUCCCAGAUCAGACCCAGCGCUGGCUCCAGACUCCGGCUUCCUGUUUGUGCAUACUCUGGGAAGCAGCAAGGGUCGGCUCAAGUAAUUGGGUUUUAUUCACCCAUGGAGGAGACCUGAAUUGAGUUCCCAAAUAAAUAGCCAAACAGGUAGAUGAUGGAUAGAUAGAUAGAUAGAUAGAUAGAUAAAAAGGAUUCAAGGGAGAGAUGGUGAAAAACAAGAACACACAAAAUCUUUGUAACUAAUGUGUUGGGGAAGAGAAUCCUACAACUGAACCAAAAGUAUUAAAAUAUUUUAAAAACAAUACAAGAAACAUCAGUAUAAGAAGACUUGGCUAUGCAGAUGGAAAUGUUUUUACAAUGUGCUCAAGAAAGAAACUUGUGUAAUAUAUAAUUUAUUUUACUGAGACUUUUAAAGACAAAUACAGAAAUACUUUACAAUAAGGUAAAGGAAAAAUCAACUUAGUUAAAGUAAAAUUAUACUGAUUGAAGGCUUUUCACAGUGACAUUUUACAUGGGCAGAUAGUGAGACAAUAUCUGUAAAAUACUCAUGGAAAUAAAAUGUUAUUCCAAGGCCACAGACCACACUUUCUAAUGAAAUGUAGAAAUUCUAGUUGCUAGGAAAUCUUCCUGGCUGCUCAAAAAAAUAAUUAGCUAACAGAAAAAAAAAUGAGAAAAGGCCACAAAUAGUGAACACCAGCUAAUGAUACAUAUGCAAAGUCUGCAAGGGUAAAGUGUAUGACAUCUGUAGUCUAUUCUGAAAUGCAUCGGGAGAUUAGAUACAUUGAUGACUACACGGAGGCAUUAGUAACUGGGUUGCUCAUUGAUAAAACAAAUGCAGCAAAUAGUGAUGGUAGAGUUUAGUUGAUGGUUAGUGAGGGUUCACUUUGCAUAUCUAUUUUCAUUAUUCAUCUGUUUAAAAUUUUCAUAAUAAAAUGGUGAAAAAUGAAUCAUAAAACCAUAGCUCUCUGCAUGUAUUCUGCUAUAGGAUUAGGCAUAAAACACCGGUGGGAAUUACAAAAUGGAAAUCUAUUGUUAUAAAUCAUGGCAAUUUAGAACUGCUAUAACUAACAAGCACUCAGAGAAGGGAGAGGUGAUAGGAGGUAGAGAGGAAUUUACAAUCAUGGACCAAAUACCGAUCAUUGAAUGGUGACAGACCAAGACUUUUAAUAAUGGUGAUAGAUAAAGACUUUUCAUAAAUGUUAGUACCAGAAGCACUAAUAGAAAAAUAACCAAGUAAGGCUGACACUGUCAGAUUGGGACACUUUGUAGUGUCCUCACUGGUGAUGGUGGUGAGUUGAGACUGUCUUUAGAAAAAGAGAAUCAAGUGUAUAAGAGGCCUUCAAAAGGUUCCUGGAAAUAUGUUAUGAAAAAACUAUGUAUGGAUUUUAAAAGUUGUUUGCAACAUAAUAAACUCUUCUUUUGAUUUCAUUUUCUCGUGAUUUUCUUAAAAAUUUGAUUUAACUUUUUCAAAUUCGGUGUUUCCUAUUCUGAAUUGUGUCUGUUUACUUUGAAUUGAUCACAACAUGAUAGACUGAAUUUUUUAAGUACCCUUUGUUGUUGUUGUUGUUGACAGGCAGAGUUAGACAGUGAGAGAGAGACAGAGAGAAAGGUCUUCCUUCCAUUGGUUCACUCCCCUAUUGGUCAUUACGUCCGGCGCACCACACUGAUCCGAAGCCAGGAGCCAGGUGCUUCUCCUGGUCUCCCAUGGGGUGCAGGGCCCAAGCACUUGGGCCAUCCUCCACUGCACUCCCUGGCCACAGCAGAGAGCUGGCCUGGAAGAGGAGCAACCAGGACAGAACUGGUGCCCCAACCGGGACUAGAACCCGGGGUGCCAGUGCUGCAGGCGGAGGAUUAGCCUAGUGAGCCACGGUGCUGGCCCUUUUUCUUUUUUUCCUGUGUUCUUACAGCUCAUUUUCCCUUUCUUUAUCUGCACUUCUUCUGCCCCUGUUUUGCGCUAUUAGAUUGCUUCAUUAAGUUGCUCUCAUGUAUGGCCGUAUCCUUUGCUGGAAUGGUCCACUGGCUGGUUGAGUGUUUAUGUCCACUGGAUCUUCCUACCCUUGUGUUGUGUUGUCUUUGUAUCAGCCCCAUGCUGGAAGGGUUGUGAUGUAUUUCUUGCCUCUCGAUGGAAGGCCUUCCUGGACCGGAACUUGCAGGAGGUUUAUCAGGGAUGGAAGCAUCCCAGACCGGAAGCCAUCACUCCCAGGCUGUGGUGAGGGACCUCCGGGGAUGCAUCCACGUCUCUGGAUGCACUGCUCUGCCGUGACUUCUCUCCAGCCAAGGCCAGCGGGUUGCAGGCUGUUCCUACUCCCUGCAGCUCUCCUCUCUACAUUUCCUUGAGCACUGGGGACAGAGUUUGUCCAGCCCUGCCUCCCUGCUGUUCUCUGCUUGUUCUCGACAAGUUCUGGAGAAUCACCCUCCAUCACCCCCAGCCCCCUGCCACCCCAACAAUGAUACCGCAGCUUGCGAGCAGCUAAGCCAUUGUGCGCUGGCCCCUCAGGAUGGUUCCCUGUUCUCUCAUGAUCACCUCCUACUUUCCCGUUUUAUUUCCUCUGUUUUCGGGCAGUUAACCUGAGUUUACGGAAUUCUCAUAGCUUUGUUUUCCAAGACGGAUAUGUCUCGAGCCUCCUCAUGAAUGACUUCCAUUUGCACAGGGUCUGUGCGUGAUUGUUUGCAGGGUCACCCUCUUACGCCUAGCAGGCUUCUUCGCUUGCCCUGUCUAGUGUCUUUAAAGUUGUUAGAUUGCUUUUUCUGUUUCAUUCAUUUAUAUGUGUAAAGGUGGGAAAAUUGGAUAAAUGAAAAUUGAGUGCUGCGGGGCAGUCUUGCCUGCAAAACCCCACAUUGCAUCCCUUUGACAAGCGUGCAGAGUGGGCAUUGUCAUCCACCCCUCACAGAUGGCAGGAGGGAUUCCGAUAGAUCGCAGGCUGGGGCAGGACCCAUGUGCUCAUACACGAGGGGGCAGAGGUUGGCACCUUCACGGAUCCAUGAUGCCGUCUUUCAGAGCUGGGCAUAAGCCUGAAUGGAAGAGAACAGUCCCUGAAUGGAAUGAAAGCGUUGACAUUUGAAACAGAUUAGAGAAAGCAGAAAAUUGCCCUUAUUUAUCAGUGCAGCCUUGGCCAGGCUGACAGACUGUCUAAUUGGCUCAUAUAUAUCUUUCUGUUUCAGGGCACGAUUCUGCUCAUUAGCGUGCGAUUCUCUUGCUCCUAGCAAGGCAGGGACUGGGGACACAGGCUUGGACCCUGUUCCCACGUUGAGCCCUGCUGGACAGCACAGUGGCUUUUGUGUUAUAUGGAUAACCCAAGCCGAGGACUCAUCCCAGCCCUUCACUGUACUUACUCUUGAUGGAUGCCCUUGCCAGUCCAAGGAGCAAGGCUUUUACUGCUGCUCUGUCUGUCAGCAGCACUCAGUUCACCUCCUGUUCAUUUCAGUCGCAAUGAUCUUGCAGGAGGGUGAGGACUGUGCGCUCUCUGCACAACCUCACUGCUUCCAGCAGGUUAGGGUGCUGUAUAAGUGGCUCUAAUUGAGCGUUAUCUGCUUUCUUAAAUAAGUGUCUUUAAAUUGAGCGUGAUAGCUGUUGCACUCUCGAUGGUCCGCUUGGUUUUUCUCUCGUCAUCAGCUGCACCCAGCUAGUACAAACAAGAUCCCGAUAGACAUUAAAGCUCUCGUCCCAAAGCAGUGGGUUAGGACCUGGGCCGUGGUCCCCACGGAGGCCUGGGAAAAGGUUGGGGCAGCUGACGCAUGGUGAAGUGUUCUCGAGGAGUGGGAAGGAGGACAACCAUUCUGUGGAUGCAGGCAUUUUCUGUACAGGGGAGGUGGAAACAUUUGCCAGCCGCAGUACCGCAUCUCAGAACCGCAGCCAUCAGCUUGGCAGCAUGACCUUUUCUGGCGCAUCAUGCCGUGGGCUUUGCUGUCACGCUAAGACAGCAUGACAGGACCGUGCACUGCCUCCUCAGUAGAUUUCCCCGUCCUUAGCUUCACAGACAGGCUGCCAGGGAGUGUAGCACGUAGCAGUCCUGUGAGCUCAGAAAUCACAGCGCAAACUACACUUCAGGCUUUAUCUUAUGCACAUAUAUGCAUGAGUACAUGUGUGUAUACACACACACACACACGCACACAUGCACGCAUGCACAUGACCUCGCCUUUGAAGUAAGAGACCAGAGAGGCUGUCACGUUUCUGUCUAGCAUCAGGGAAGGACAGAUUGGAAGUGUCAGGACUCGUCAUUCUGAAUUUAACGUGGAAUUAUCUAAUUAUAUUCGAUUCAACAACUAAUGUAGAAACUACUAAUUCCAGCCCCAGCCAGCACUUUGCAGAUUUCCCCUGUUUUCCUGUGUAGAAUAUGAUACUUGGCACAAAUCCUAGAUCAGACUUCCUCUGCAGCUGUGUUGCAAAGCGAUCGCCCUGGUAGGAAAUUGGUUGUAUCAUGCGUUGGAAGAAGCAAAGGAGACACUGACAUUCCCAGUGUCUUCGUUUCAGCCAGAAGAAUUCUCACAGACACUAAUCCCUGUAUCCUUGGAGCACCCCACUGUGUGCCAGAGAUGGGAUGCCCUGUUGUGUGCUCAGUGUAAACAAAAUCUAAAUGGUUGCUGUACCCCAAUAGCCAGCUAAUACAUUUUGUAUCGGACUAACUGUUGGAACUCAUUGUCCAAUAUAAAGUGUUGACUUUGAAAAAAGCCUGCAUGUGAUGUCACUCUGGUUAAUAUCAUGACUUCUGCAAAUAGACUCGUCCCUCAGUAACAAUGGGGGGUGGUUCCAGGACCCCUAAAGGUCUCCACUCCACAGGUGCUCACGUUCCUCCCAUAAAACAGAGUUGUGUUUGCACAGAACGGUCACACAUUCUAUUGUUCCACUCAGGCUCCCUAGUAUAGAGCAUUCCGAUGGCAGAAACAGCUGUUUUAUUGUUUAGGAAAUAAUGCAGCAAUGUGUACAUGUUCAGUCCAGACACAAUUGUUUUCUGAAUGGCUUUGAUCCGUGAUUGGUUGAAUUCUCAGGUGCAGGACCCACAGACAUGGAGCACUGGCUGUAUCCUAACCGUGUGCGUGUCUGUGUGCACGCAACUUCCCAAGCAGCUGUGUAAGGCAAUAGCAGUUUGGAAACCAGCUAUGAAUACUGGAUUUUUAUUCCAGAGCUCAUGCUGAUGCAUUAGUGGGGUGUUCCCCAGGGACCCCCUUCUCUUUCUGUAUAGUGGGGUGUUCCCCAGGUACCCCCUUCUCUUUCUGUAUAGUGGGGUGUUCCCCAGGUACCCCCUUCUCUUUCUGUAUAGUGGGGUGUUCCCCAGGUACCCCCUUCUCUUGCUGUAUUUACAUAGCUCCCUGGUUGCAUUUUCCCCGUAUUUUAAUCGUCUGGGUUGUGUGUGUUUGUGUGUGUAUGAGGCAGAAUGUUCAUUUUAUUUCUGAGGUUGGCCCAGUGGGUCUUUCUGGGUCUCAGCAUCUUGGGCUGGUUAGUUAGUGUCUUCCAGCAGUGACAGCUGCCGUGGAGGGGCCUUGCUGUCAUCGCUAGUGUUCAUGGCAAAGCGGUAGCUCCUUGUUGAAUAUUGCAUUUGUGUCAACAACCCCAAGAGUUUCUGUUACGCACGCAUCAUGUUGCUACCCUGAAAUUCUAACCACAGUGAUGCAUUUGUCUACUCCCAUGCAGUCCAGGACGUGUUCUGGAAACAGCUAUAACUAAAUUACUAUCAUUAUUGUGCUUUGCCACACUGAUGUUUGAAGCAAUUGAGAAUGCAAUUUUAAUUUAAUUUAUUCUGACAAGUAUGUAUGGCUUGUUCAGACUUAAUAUGAUACAAGUCACACACGCACACUCACAUGUGAUCCCUGUGAGCACACCGCACGGGUCUGGAACCGAGAAGCGCUCAAUUACCUCACGUGUUUGAUGUGGAAAUUCCUUCACCAUCCCGAAUCCGCUGCCUUUCACAUAUUGCUAACACAGCCCCGCUAAUCUCUUUAGAAAGAUUUAUGUUGCUUUCAAAGAGAAGGGAUUUCUGAGCCAGCAAGGAUGCCGUGGGGCGCUAGACCACAGCAGCAAGCGCUUUCCUCCCAUUGCAAUUCUGCCUGCUUGCUCCUGAAAACCCCGGAGCCUGCCCGUCUCACACCCUGGCCUGCUUGGCCUCACCUUGGGCAGUAAGAGGAGACCUGAAUUCCCGUGGGGCAGAGACCUUGGAGACCUUGGAGGCUGAGGUCCAGCGCCCACAGAGGAUUUGCUGGUAUCCCGGAAGCCUCAGCCUUCCCACCUCUAAAGCCAAUGGAGCAGAAGGGAAGCACGCGGAGUCGUUAGUUGGCCUGGCCGUAGAGGAUGCGGCAUCCAGAGCUUCCGCCAUGGAGUGGCCCAGCCAGCUGGCCGGACACCCACUCAUGGGGCCAGAUCUACAAAGGAAAGGCGGGUGACACCCCAAGAGGGUCAAAGUUCAUGAGAUGCUGCUACUGAACAUUACUGCUUAGCUUGUCUUAAACAGGCUCGGAACACAGACAUUCGGCUCCAGUCGGACAAAAUCAUCAAGCAACGCCUAUUUUUUUUUAAAGAUUUACUUCAUUUUAUUUGAAAGACAGAGUUACAGAGAGAGGUAGAGACAGAGAGAAGUCUUGCAUCUGCUGGUUCACUCCCCACGUGGUCGCAACGGCUAGAGCUGCGCCGAUCCAAAGCCAGGAGCCAGGAGCUUCUUCUGGGUCUCCCAUGUGGGUACAGGGCCCCAAGGACUUGGGCCAUCUUCUCCUGCUAUCUCUGGCCACAGCAGAGAGCUGGAUCAGAAGUGGAGCAGCUGGGACUCAAACCGGCGCCCAUAUGGGAUGCCGGCACCUCAGGCCAGGGCUUUAACACGCUGCACCACAGCGCCGGCCCCGCGAAGCCUAUUUUAUGAUAAAGAGAUGACUAUCUCAUGUAACUUAUUGAAUGCAACGCUGAAAGUGGAAAAAUGCGAUGGUUUCAUGGGAAUGUUUUUGCAGCGUUUUAAAGUUGAAAAUCAUAGGUUGUAACAUCCUGAGGCGGGACCAUUAAUAUUGUGACUGAUUCACCAUUGAAUAAAAAUCAGGCUGAAAUUAAACACAUAAUCAUUCAAAUUCCCAUUAGGGAAGAUAAACCUUUAAGAAGUUUAAGACAGGUUGUUUCAUCAAAGAAGGCGUUAACUCUACUGAGUACCUCCACUCCGUGCUUUUGUGUCCUUUGUGUGUUAGACAAAAACUGCCAACAAAAGAUAGGCACGUGUUUAGAUGAUGCAGUAAAACCAUCUUUAAAAACAUCUUUUCAAUUGCUGUUUAGACCACAGCAUUAAACAACACAUCCUAGAUGACUUGUCAAGUCACUUAUUGUGGCUACGCGUGAAGAUCCAUGGCGCAUGGAACAUUGUUCCGAUUCCUAGAAGGUGAGUGUGGUGACAUGAUGCUUUCUUUUCUGUCUAGGAUUUCUGAGACAUGAGACUGCAGAUCAGUACAAUGAAUGUGUGAUUUGACAUUGUGGAGUGCACAAUUUAUAUAGGUGGGGGAAAUUCUGAAAAGUAAUUAUGCCUAUAAAGAUAGUAUCGGAGGUGGAUUAUGACCCCUCACUGACGCCCACAUCCUAACCCCCAAAACGUGUGAAUGUGGUCAAGCCCGUGACAAAAGGGACUUAAGGUUUCCAACUCAAUUAAAUGGCCGGGAGCUGGAAAGCCCAUCCUAGGGCAUCCCAGAGGGCUCGAACUAGUCUCAUGGGCCUUUCCCAGGUGUGUGAGAGGCAGCUGUGACACAGAAGCAUUGUCUACUAGCUACCUAUGCACCUGAGCCCAGCUCAAAAGGGAAUGUGCAAGCGUGAGCAGCCCUGUCACUCCCAGAGCUGGGAAGGCCACACACGCAAGUGACCGCAAGACUGAGUUGAAGGAAGAGUGCCCCUUGGGUGGAAGACAGCUGAUGGUGUUGGGGCUUAGCGGGGCAGGGGACACACAGGGCUGCAUCGAGCAGGCACCAGCGUCCUUGGGCUCCUCAGCCUGAGCCACGUCUUAGCUUUCGCUCCAGUAAGUCAAUGUGAUCUUCACACGACGCGGUGCAGGGGUUGCCUCCCUGGAGAUGAGACGAGAGGUGGCGGAGAUGGGAAAGUAUAAACUCGAGGAGGGGGUGCUUGGUGUUAUUGGGGAAAAGCACUGGAGGGGGAUGGACUCUGCACACAUGCAGGGCCUCCCUGGCUGCCGCGGAGCCUCCGCGUGGAGGGGCCUGCGUGGCUGGGGUCUGAGAAACAAUUCCGCGGAGGCUACCAGACAGGAGACUGCCAGGUGUGGUGGCUUCUUGGCUAUCUCCAAUCGUGGCCCCGUUAGACGUGGAGGCUUUGUCCACUUACAGAAUACCCUGGGCUGCUGGCUCACAAGCUUCUAGGAUUUAUUAGUCACAGGUUUGGACGCUGAAAAAUCCAUGAACAGGUUCCCGGUGAGUUCAAGGUCUGACGAUUGCCCACUUCCACGAAGCCAUCUCCCCUGCUGCGUCCUCACGUGACGCAGGGGGAGAACUUUGACCUCUGCCCCUCAGCAGGGCACCAUCGGAGCCCAUGGGGGCUCCCCCACCAGGACCUGCCCCCCAAAAGACCCCACCUCCCAAUGCCAGCACCCCAGGAGUCACCAUUUCAACUUACUACAGCACACAGCCAUGAAGACGGGUUAGUUCUUUCCUACCCAUAAGAGAACAAUACUUUCUCAAUUUUCUGGAGAAAACUUUCCAUAAAACAAUGACAUUAGAUCUCUUGAAAUCCCAUUUUAAAAGAUUGUCAGAAUUAAAGGGAAUUAAAGAAUCUAAAAAGUUCAACUUCUAACUAUUCAUGUAGGUGAUGCUAAUGACCUUGGCAAACUGUCUUUAUUUUUUAAUGCCAAUACCCAGGGCCUGAGUAUUUCGCUUUUAAGGAUCCUUGAUGAUAGCUCAUCAUGCUUGGUGAUUAACAAGAGUCCAAGUAGGAAUACAAACUUUGGGAACAAAGGUUGUUUUUCUGAGAUACCAAUAUGCAGGUGAGAUAAAGAUCAAGAAAUGUGUUCAUUUCUAUGUACAUAUUUUCUCUCUAUAAACACACACACAUACAUAUAUGUAUAUUCAGUACAGAAACCAGUUUUCUAGACUACUUGGUGGCCUUGCAUUGAAAUGACAGAGUCUGGUUAACUGCAUUCAUUGUGAACUGUAAAAACUGAAUCACUUAAGCGAACAAGAAUAUGCUUCUCUUUCACAUAAACCCUGGGUAUUCUUGGUUACAAAGUGCAAUGGCUACCAGCUCGGCUGGCUUCCUGAAGGAGACGGGGACUCUUCAGAGCAAGCCUGGUUCUCCAGGGGGAGACCCGGCUGCACCUCUGGGGGCCGCUCUGAGAGGCUGAUGCCACCAGAUCGACCUGGGAUGCCACAAUCUGGUUGUGUGCUCUCUGUACCUUGCCUGGAAAGGAGUUGAUGGGCGAGUGGAAUCAUCUUUAAGAGAGGACUUUGGAGCCAAUAUAAAGUUAGCUGUCUAAUAGCGGCUGCCGUGUGAUCACUGACAGGCUUCUUAGAUGAGGUAGCCUGGGCAGGCACCCUGGCGCCGUGGGAUAAGCCACCGUCUGCAGCGCUGGCAUCCCAUAUGGAGGCUGGUUUGAGUCCCGGCUGCUCCACUUCUGAUCCAGCGCCCUGCUAAUGCAUCUGGGGAAGCAGCAGAGGAUGGACCAAGUGCUUGGGCCCCUGCACCCGCACGGGAGACUCAGAAGAAGCUCCUGGCUCCUGGCUUCAGCCUGGCCCAGGCUAGGCCAUUGCAGCCAUUUGUGGAGUGAACCAGCAGAUGGAAGACCUCCUUCUGUCUCUCCCUCUCUCUCUCUGUAACUCUGUCUUUGAAAUAAAUAAAUCUUUUUUUCUAAAUAAAAAAAAAAUAGCCCAAAGGAUUCAACAAAAACUUUUCUGCCAACCUGAGAUUUGGAAAGUGAAUUUUGGGUAAGAAAUCAAAUCAACAAAAAUAAAACAUAAUUUAAAGACAUUUCUGCCUACAUCACCGAUCCCCAACAGAAAAACAGUGUGUGGAGUUAUUCUGGAGUGAGCUGAGUCACCUCAUGUCAGAAGCCAGUGCACAGUCAAGGGUUACAAAGUGUCACGAGUGAGCUGAGUCACCUCAUGUCAGAAGCCAGUGCACAGUCAAGGGUUACAAAGUGUCAUGGUGUCAUCACUGGGUCCUCCAAAAGUCACAUGUUGCUAUUUAUUUAUUUUCAUUGAAAGGCAGAAUGAUACAGAGAGAGAGGGAGAGAGAAUGUGAGCGAGCGAGCUUCCAUUUUCUGGUUGAUUCUCCCAAUGCUCACAGUGGCUAGGGCUGGGCCAGGCCAAAGCCUGAGAGCCCCAGACUCCACCUGGGUCUCUACAUGGGUAGAGGGACCCAAGCACUUCAGCCAUCAUCUUUUGCCUCCAAGUAUAUGCAUUAGCAGGAAGCCAGAGAGGAAGUGGAGGUGCCAGGAGUCGAACCAACACUCCAGUGUGGGAUGUGGGUGCCCCAGCUGACAGGCCACCUGCUGCACCACAACACCUGCCCCCCAUGUGUUGGAAGCUAACAUCCAAUGUCACUAGGAGGUGGUCCUUCUGGGACCAUUCUGAUGAAUGGAACCUGGGCCUUGAUAAAAGGGAGCUUUGCUGCCCGUCCACCGUGUGAGAAUGAAGCAAGAAACUGCUGUGGCCAAGCCCUUGCCAGACAGCGGAUCUGCUGUGCCUCUCACUUCCCAGCCUCCAGAACUGUGAGCAGCACCUCUCUGUCACUCACAGAUGACCCAGCCUAAGGCCUGGGUGCACUGAGUUUUCAAGCAGAAAUCGGUCAAGUCUUGGGGCAGGCGUAGACCAAUGCUGGGAAGCUGUGGGGAGGGAAGGGGAAUGUGGGGCGGAGAGCAGAGAGCGAGGCAGUCCCACGGCAGGGCGCUGGGCAGCACAACGCAGGCCUCUGAGCCUCUGCACCCAUCGUGGUUCAGUCGGGAACGACAUCAAGAACCGGGACCCCAGCGUCCCGUCCUCUACUUUGGAGCGAGUCACAGCGGCGGGAGCCUGAGUGCUCGCGUCUGCUGAAUGAGAGGAUCGGGCCCAGGUGACACUGCCGUUCUCUGUCAGUUCAUAACCAUUUUAUGCCAUUGUGCAGUCUGGUUGGGUUAUGCACUGGUCAGCUAGUACUGCCGUGAUGAAGCGUAACACACACCCCUCAAAUAUGAAAAAAAAUUCUUGCUCACGAGUUUGCUGCCUGGCUGGGCAGUGGCCAGCCUCGGCUUGCCGGGGCUGGGCUUGUCACUAGGCGUCAGACUGGGCUGUGUCGGCUCCUCUGGGUCUCUCCUCGGGCCAGUAGGUACACCGGGUUGUCUUUCUCAGGGGAGAUCACGGCAGUGACCGGGCAAGCCGAGCCACAAAGGGCAUCCCAAGCCUCUGUCCUAGAUUCUCUGCUGGCUCACCCUUGGCCGCCAGUCCCAGCCCAGGAUCAAGGUCCAUAGCCCUGAGACGUGCAUGCCCUGGCUGUGGGAGCUGCCCACGCCAGAGAGCAAUGGCGGAUCCACCACGGUUGGGUCUCCUGAGUCUCGCGGCUUAGUCACUGAUCCUCCCGGAGGCUGGUUGGAUGUACCUGAAAGUUGAGAAAGCCCAGAGCAGCCCCUGUAGAUCUUGAAAAGGCCAGGGGGAGGAAGAGAAGACGGAGCAGAGUUUUUCCUCUACUGCUGUGUGCCGUCUCCCACCUCAAGGAGAUCGCGUUGCACAAAGUCGAGAUAUGAAUGUGUUCUUUUAUAAAGUGUUGGAUACGGAGACACAGGCUAAUAAAGAUAGCAUCAUCAUGAUGCCAGUGUGCUGAGACCAAUGCUGUACCCGUUUUGGUUUCCCAUCCAGACUGUUUCUACACAUAUGUAUAUCAGUGUAUGAGAGUAUGUCAAAAAGUCAUGGAAACUGAACUUAAAAGAUAAGUAGUAGUGUGAUGCAAAAAUUCUUGAAAUAUAUGCCCAAGAGGAUCUUCAAGAAGUUCACAGGAAAUGCCUAUUUUGAAAAACCUUCAUGGAUUACAAAAUUUCUUGCAACAAAAUAAACUUUUUUUAAAAGAUUUAUUUUAUUUACUUGAAAGUCAGAGUUACACAGAGAG
Oryctolagus cuniculus (rabbit) is the source of this 13208-nucleotide non-coding RNA. The record is from RefSeq and is a predicted model, not a curated record. Lineage: Eukaryota; Metazoa; Chordata; Mammalia; Lagomorpha; Leporidae.